AUGAACUGGCUCGUUAGCUGGUCCUGUGGUGGACUUUUAUGCACAAAAUACAAAACAACCCCCCCACGUGCCACUUCAGAGGGGCAGCCGGCCUUCAUGGAGUGUGCAAGGACCACAUCUAGCCAGAGCAGAUCAAUGUGUGAGUGGUCUGCCCUGCGAUGGACUGGCGACCUGUCUAGGGUGUAUCCUGCCUUCCGCCCAAUGACCGCUGGCAUAGGCUCCAGCCACCCCCUGCGACCCUGAGGGAGAAGCGGC
Pygocentrus nattereri (red-bellied piranha) is the source of this 255-nucleotide long non-coding RNA. NCBI's taxonomy places the organism in Eukaryota, Metazoa, Chordata, Actinopteri, Characiformes, Serrasalmidae. The record is from Ensembl.